AACUUAUCUGGUACCUGAUAGUAUAGAAAUAAAUUGAAAUCUCAAUUCAUGGAGUGAAAAAAGGAUCUCUAAAGUCCCAUCCAGCUCUAAAAUCUGAUAAUUCUAGAAGUUGGAGCAGAUAACUUCCAAAAUAAGGUAAUUUAAUCUAGUUGCAUCCUCUUUUCAAAAUACAGAAAUGUUAGAUUCAAAAAGCAUAUUAAAAAUAACUAAUGCUUAACCAAGUUUGAAAGAAAGAAGUUUUUUGAUGUCAGAAAUGAAAAGGACCUGAAAGGCACAGCUUUUAGGCCCGUGGGAUACCCAGUAUCAAUAUAAGCCCCAAGAACUCAGGUUUUGGAAUACAUAUAGGAAUAGAAGACAUAGCUUUGGAUCUUAUGGGUGGGAGUUCUAAUUAAGACCUCUUUAUGAAGUGACCGUCUCAAGGAACUCCGCUCCAUGAAAUGACAAGACAUAACUUCCCGCCAAAUUAGGGAAGCUACAGAGGAGAUUGUCAUUGGCCUGGUUAUUCUUGAUGAAGGAAGAAAAAUCUGUUACAGACAGAGUUGUUCAGUGGAAAGUCUGGGGUAAGUUCCUGAUUUAGAACAGGCUUUAGUGCACUUUAAAAGGAAAACAAUGAAUUAUAUAAAACUUUUAGAGGACACAGUGGUGCCAGAUUUUUGUUGGAUUCCUGUGCUUUCCUCCUCCAAAUAGUUACCAAAAAAUAUUCCUUUGGGAAUUAGUAUCAAAAGGAUUCUAUAGCAUCUCAAAAGAAUCUUAUUCACUUUGGGAGGCCGAGGCAGGCAGAUCACAAGGUCAGGAGAUCGAGACCAUCCUGGCUAACACGGUGAAACCCCAUCUCUACUAAAAAUACAAAAAAUUAGCCAGGCGUGGUGGUGGGCGCCUGUAGUCCCAGCUACUCGGGAGGCUGAGGCAGGAGAAUGGCGUGAACCCAGGAGGCAGAGCUUGCAGUGAGCCGAGAUCGCUCCACUGCACUCCAGCCUGGGAGACAGAGUGAGACUCCGUCUCAAAAAAGAAAAAAAAAAAUCUUAUGCAGUAGUCUUAUUUAAUAAAAUCCACUACAAGGAGAGAAGACUGCUGCCUUGACUAUAUAGAAAGGGUUGGCAGAUAUUUCAUUCUAUCAGUUGUAACUAGUAAUCCCAUUGUUAUACAUGCUGACCCAAAAUAUAGCUGUUAUUAACCAAAUAAUGCAUUUUUCUUGAUAAAUGUUGAUUAAAUCAGAUUGGAAGCAAAAUGGUAAUAUUUAUGAUCAAUUUUAGUUUGGAUGUUCAAUGUCAAGACCAAACCCUCUUCACAGCUACCAACUUCAAUUUUAUGUGGAAAACUAAUGGUGAAGAGUUUCAAACUUUAACUGACACUUGACAUUUAACAGGGUAUGUAAUUGCUCACACACAACCUUUAGGUUUUGUAAUCCAGUUUUAUCUCAUACAAUAUUAGAAACAGUACACAUUGUAAAUACCUAUUUUAAAAGUUAGCCAUAUUUUAUAAAGUCACAUGUAUUUAUAUCUUUUCUGAGUAAUUUUCCUGUUAAUGCCUUAUGAUAGGUGCUUGUAACAUGAAAACUAAACUUGGAUCUUGGCAUAUUCAGUGUUCUAUAGAUAGAUUGUGAUCUGUAUAGCUUCUACGGUGACUUUCAGGCCUAAUGUCUCCUUUUAAGUUGUUAUUCUUUAAUAUCCUUUCUCAUUCCUUUCAGAGGACCUAUUAUUAGUUUGCAUUGUCUGCAGCAUUUCAAUAAUACUGUUCUAUUCUAAUAA
This 1748-nucleotide long non-coding RNA is filed under the name Homo sapiens (human). Its description in RNAcentral is "non-protein coding lnc-INTS12-4:3". Lineage: Eukaryota; Metazoa; Chordata; Mammalia; Primates; Hominidae. The record is from RNAcentral.